RNAcentral lists this ribosomal RNA (497 nucleotides) under uncultured bacterium. Its description in RNAcentral is "partial 16S ribosomal RNA". It matches the Rfam family "Bacterial small subunit ribosomal RNA", at positions 28 to 507 of the family's 1533-position model. The record is from RNAcentral.
GAUGAACGCUGGCGGCGUGCCUAAUACAUGCAAGUCGAGCGAACAGACGAGGAGCUUGCUCCUCUGACGUUAGCGGCGGACGGGUGAGUAACACGUGGAUAACCUACCUAUAAGACUGGGAUAACUUCGGGAAACCGGAGCUAAUACCGGAUAAUAUAUUGAACCGCAUGGUUCAAUAGUGAAAGACGGUUUUGCUGUCACUUAUAGAUGGAUCCGCGCCGCAUUAGCUAGUUGGUAAGGUAACGGCUUACCAAGGCAACGAUGCGUAGCCGACCUGAGAGGGUGAUCGGCCACACUGGAACUGAGACACGGUCCAGACUCCUACGGGAGGCAGCAGUAGGGAAUAUUCCGCAAUGGGCGAAAGCUUGACGGAGCAACGCCGCGUGAGUGAUGAAGGUCUUCGGAUCGUAAAGCUCUGUUAUUAGGGAAGAACAAAUGUGUAAGUAACUAUGCACGUCUUGACGGUACCUAAACAGAAAGCCACGGCUAACUACGUG